GAUGAACGCUGGCGGCGUGCCUAAUACAUGCAAGUCGAGCGAACAGACGAGGAGCUUGCUCCUUUGACGUUAGCGGCGGACGGGUGAGUAACACGUGGGUAACCUACCUAUAAGACUGGGAUAACUUCGGGAAACCGGAGCUAAUACCGGAUAAUAUUUCGAACCGCAUGGUUCGAUAGUGAAAGAUGGCUUUGCUAUCACUUAUAGAUGGACCUGCGCCGUAUUAGCUAGUUGGUAAGGUAACGGCUUACCAAGGCAACGAUCCGUAGCCGACCUGAGAGGGUGAUCGGCCACACUGGAACUGAGACACGGUCCAGACUCCUACGGGAGGCAGCAGUAGGGAAUCUUCCGCAAUGGGCGAAAGCCUGACGGAGCAACGCCGCGUGAGUGAUGAAGGUCUUCGGAUCGUAAAACUCUGUUAUUAGGGAAGAAUAAACGUGUAAGUAACUGUGCACGUCUUGACGGUACCUAAUCAGAAAGCCACGGCUAACUACGUG
Molecule: ribosomal RNA, 497 nt
Filed under: uncultured bacterium
Lineage: Bacteria
Description: partial 16S ribosomal RNA
Rfam family: Bacterial small subunit ribosomal RNA
Source: RNAcentral